UGUAACUUAAUUCUUCUUUUCCCUCUAUUUUAAGAACAUUUUCCUUGACUGACAGAAUUUUAGGUACUCAUAUUUCUUUGGUUCUGAAUAUUCCAAUAGUUCAAUAGUCAUUCCAUAACAAUAGUCAUUAUAAUGGCCAACAGAGGCCACUAUAAAGCUUGGGGAAAGAGGUAGAGAAUACAGCAUCUAGCAAGGUACAGUGCUAGGUUAAUACAUCAACCCAAAUCUGGUUAAGUCUAGACAUAAAUAGUUGGUUUGUAAAGUGAGUUUAUUGCCUGAUGACAUCAUGGAAAACUACUAUGAAUGAAAAAUGUUAUGCAUAAAAGGGUGGGAGGAAAAAAAGCUUUAUCACUAUAGUCUCAACAUUAUCUUAUGUGGGAUUGCAAAGACAACCAAAUCCUAAAGGAAGGGCCUUCAUCACAAGAGGUUAGUUAACAAUCAAGUUGGGAAUAAGUUAAGGAACAAACCACAUGGUACUCCUAGAUACAGCACAGUAAAAACUGCUGGCUAGAAUGAGUGCUGAGGACUUUACUGAGGAGGUGAGUACCUGAGGCAGACUAUGAAAGGUGAUGGCAGGUAGCAAAGGGGACAGGAAGGAAUUCAGAGGCAGCAUGAUCAAAGGCACAGAAGUGGGAAUCAAUCGCUCUCUCUCUUUCUUUCAUUUAACCACCAAGGAGCUCCAAGUCUUGGGCUAGUUACCUAAUGACUCUGUGCCUCAGUUUCCUCUUCUGUAAAAUGUGCAUAUGAACAGCAUGUGCCUCAUAGGCCCACAACAUGAGCUAGCAUAUGUUAAGCACUUAGAACAGGGCCUGGCAUCGUAAGAGUGAUCUGGAGAGGCCAACACAAAAUGUCCAGCAUGGAAAUGAAUCACAGAGACGAGACUUGCCAAGGGAAACUGAAUGAAUGAGGGGAAGGAGUUUAAAAGGUGCCAAGAGUUUCCAAUAAUGCACAAAUAACCCUCACUGACUGCCCUUUCAAUGCUCAACUCUGCUGUUCUAGGUGCUGGGAAUACAAUGCUGAACAAAACUAAGUCACAAUACUUAGAAAAAUUAUAUUGUAUGGUGGAGGUGACAGAGAAAGGAAGAAAAGAAGAAGAAGAAGAAAAGGAAGGAAGGUAGUGAGUGCCACAAAGUGACAGAUGUAUGGUAGAUAGCUGUAUUAGUAUUAACUAUCAGCUCUCUAAGAAGGUGACACUAGAGCUGAGGCCAGGGGUCAAGGACAUUGUUGGUUGUAUGAAAACUUGUAGGGAGAGGGCUAGGCAGAAUGGGUCAGCCAGAAUGAGCCUGAGCAGGGCCAACAGAUGCCAUUAUAAACCUUGGGGAAAGAAGUAGACAAUACAGUUUUUCUCAUACUUAUUCUAAUACAGAACCUCUCUUUUUUUUUCAGAGAGCAUCUCCUUAGGGAACUGUUAAAAACAAGGUAAGGUUUAGGGUUAGCAUGUAAGUUUAGUGUUAGAAAUCAGAAAAGGAGUUAUUUGGGAAGGGGGAGACACCAGGAAAGAAAAGCAAUUAUACAUUUUUGAAGCAAUGCUUUGGCAACUGAGUUUGUUUUCCUAUAAAACUAUUUCUGUGCUGGAGUUUAAUGUAAAAUGGUUGUGGGUUUGUGCCCCCAAAUGUCACCUACUUUUGAUAAAUGAGGAGUAGCAACUCAUUAGGGGGAAAAAAAGAGUAUCUAGUGACAAAGGGAUGCUUUCUGUUCAUGAUGGUUUGUACAAUUUAAAAAGAAAAAUGCUUAUUCAAAGUAAAUUGUUACCCAAACCAGAACUCUUCACAAAAAUCCAUAAUCGGAGGCAAACCUUAAUCAGUAAACAAUUCAUAACAGGCCGCCCGCAUUUAUACUUCAUGUAUACACACUCAGCCCAACUGUGCAAAAAACAUUUCUGAUCUGUUUACUCUGGCUUUAACAGUAAGUCAUUUGCCAUUUUAAAAUAAUAUUCAUGUGGUUGGGGUAAAACAUUUAAAAUAUAUACACAAGCAUCUGGAAGGUAAAAUCUUCCAGAUUUGACCACUACCAAACCCAGGAGGUUUUCUCUCUCUUUUUUUCUUUCAACUACUGAAGAAUUUUGAAUAUAACCAUCUCUUGAAUUGUUCUUCGUCAAUUCUGUCAGUAUAUUUCAUAAACUCAAAUCUCCAGAAUAUAACAUCGAUUUAAGAGAUCAAGAGCCUAUCUAGCAACCAGAGAAUUUUUUAAAUUAGUUAAAAGUCUUCUUAUUCUCCUCUUUACAAAUUCAGUGAAAUCUGAGGGUAACUAAAUUCCACAAACAUUACAGAGUGAGCAAACUCAUUAAUAUACUGGCAAAUAUUUAGGUAUCCCUUAUAUUCACGAAAGUAAUAUAUUCAUCUAAGAUACACAAACUGAAUUUUGGUAGACCAAUUAUUAUUAUUAUUUUUUUUUGUACCAGGAAUUGAACUCAGGAGCACUCAACCACUGAGCCACAUCCCCAGCCCUAUUUUGUAUUUUAUUUAUAGACAGGGUCUCACUGAGUUGCUUACCACCUUGCUGUUGCUGAGGCUGGCUUUGAACUCAAGAUCCUCCUGUCUCAGGCUCCCGAGCUGCUGGGAUUGCAGGCAUGCACCACCAUGUGGGUGAUUCAAUUCUAUUUUUAACAGAAUUUAUUGUGAUGCAAAUAAUAAGUACAAAAAUGGGUUUUGAGAUCUUACUUAAGUGUUCUAAUAUUAAAUUCUCUUCACAUUAUCUAUUGUGAAGAAUGAAAUGACAAAGAUGCAUUGUCUACACCUAUUGGUUCACUCUGUGCAACUCAGUGCAGAGCCAUGCACUACUUGACAAGUCUAACUCUGAGCUGACCCUGGUGCAGAGAUAUUUAUCAGAACCAUCACUUUGUGAACUCAGAUGUGGCCUUCCCUACUAAUCUGUUGGGAAAUACUUGCCCAGAAUAGGAUGUGAUUUUUUAAAAUGAAAUCAUCUGAUAUACUGGACCCUAACAAGUCUAAUAACAAGAUUCUGGGCAUGUCCCCAGCCCCUUCAGGUCUCUGCUCUCUGAUGGAGAAUGACAAGGCUAUCACCAAUCUGUUUUCCUGAAAAAUGAGAAAAACAGAAAUCCUGAGAUGUCUUCACAGCCCAAUGUCCCUUUGUCAGGUUCAUUUUUAUUGGUUACUCUUAACCAAUGUCUUGACUUGAAAACUGUCUAGAAUGCCCUGCAUAUCUAAAAUUUGAAAGUACAACUAAAUCUGGUACAAACUUUUCCUUACCACUCAGGGAACUUUGUUUUGUUGCUAUUGCAACAGUUUUCAUAAUCAAGAAAUGUUAGACAACACAUUUAUUAGCAAUAAACAGAGACACGGUUAAGUCAUGCUAUAUACCCUCCUGGCUCAGGCUUAUUCCAAAACCCUAGGAAAUCUCUUCACCAUUUUAGUGUAGAAUGAAGACAGUGUUCCUCACCUCUCUAUUUCCUAUAAGUCAGGAAAGAGGGACACUGAAAUAUGUUUGUAAAGAGCUGAGUGGCUACAAAAUAUAAGCUCUGAAUAGUACAUCUGUAAAUAAGUUCUUACUGACACAUGCUCUUAGUGACAAUCAUUUAGACACAAAGCCCUACUUACAUGAAAGAGGCAAUUAAGAGACACAGUAGCAGUGUGACUAUGUGGCUUUCUCUCAAGAGAACAGAUUCCAGCACUGUCAAUAUGGGCAAAAGAUACAGUGCCUAUCCAAUUAUCGGAGAUGGCUUUGAUCUGAUUCAUGUUUCAGACUCAGUACUGCUGCUCGGAGACCAGCAGAGACAGAAAUUCCUACCCUCUCUUAGGGCCAGUUUUCUGUGUGGAGAAACAAGGUUACAGGAAUACAUGUUUGCGAGGCAUGUUCUCCUCAUGGUCUCCAUCAAAAGAUCCAGUCAUUUGCCAGUAAAUGGAUAGAGCUGGAGAAUAUCAAGCUAAGUGAAAUAAGCCAGUCCCCCAAACCAAUGGCCUAAUGUUUUCUCUGAUAUGCAGAUGCUAAUUCACAAUGAGAGAGGGGGUACUAGGGAAGAAUAGUUACUUUAGGUAGAGGACAGUGAAGGGAAGGGAGGGGAUAGGAAGGAUGGUAGAAUGAAACAGACAUUAUUACCUUAUGUACUUAUAUGACUACAUGACCAAUGUGCCUCUAUAACACGUACAAUCAGAAAAAAUGAGAAAUUAUACCCCAUUUAGGUAUUACAAAGAGCAUACAAAUCCAUUCUACCGUCAUGUAUAACUAAUUAAAACAAAUAAGAAAUUUAAAAAGAUUCAGACAUCAUUUGUGUCUGUUAGCACCUCUGAGCAGGGUGACAUUUCUCUGCUAGUGACCCAGUCACCUUGGGGAAGAAUGUAGCUGCCUGAAGAAAGAAGACACUUGAGGAACUGGAUGUGCACAAGUUCCCCAAACCGCAGUCGACCAACAACAUGCUGUUGCUAUACAGAAAUGGAAAUACAGAGAUUCACAUGACAAAGUUAUCAGCUGGUUGGUGCCAAAUGCCUGAAAGAACAUCUAGCUGGAGCUUCCGUUUGCUUCUGGGAUAAAUUUCAAAUUCCUUAACCUGGCUGGCCAGGCCUUGUUGUCUGGCUGCAGCCUCGUCUGGGUUCAGAGUUCAGCCCUCCCUUUCAAUGUGCCAUUCCACCUGACUCAGCACUACCUCCGCCUCCCACUCAGGUAGGUAUCAGUGAAACAUCACUUCCCAAGGAAAGACCCCUUCCAACUGUGGGAGGUCUUCAGUUCCCUGCCCUCCAGAAUCCCUGCACAGUUCUUCAUAGCAUCUACCACAUGGGUGUUCCCUACAUCUAUCUGCUCUCUGAUAAUUCCAUGAGCUCAGGCCCUUGAGGGCCUUUUCUAGCUUUAGACAAAAGAAAAAUAGGAGGUAGCAUAAUAACAGAGAGAGAAGUGGGCAUGAGCUCAUCUAGAGAACAGCUGGGACCUGGUGGGGACGUCUUCUAGUGUGGCCCUCACCUUGGUCAUCUAUAAAAAUAACCUGUAUUAGACUUUUAAGGCCAAAUUUUCUAUUGGGAAAAAAAAUCUCUGUACACACAUGGAAAGAGCUGGCAAUGCCGCUGGGCUGAAAGAGUUACUA
Marmota monax (woodchuck) is the source of this 5032-nucleotide long non-coding RNA. RefSeq lists it as uncharacterized. The transcript has 3 exons. The record is from RefSeq and is a predicted model, not a curated record. Lineage: Eukaryota; Metazoa; Chordata; Mammalia; Rodentia; Sciuridae.